CAUUAGAUUCGGCAGAUUAUCUUUGUCCAAACAUAGGUUCCAUCGAACUUGACCUGAUGGCACAAGCCGUGCGGCGACCUUCACUACGAUUCAUAUAUAAGCGACAACGAGCAAAUUGCGUAAGGUUUACUUGUGCUACAUUUAAGGGUAACAUGAAGUGUAUUCUGGUUUUCUGUUUGGUUGUUGCUCUUACCGCAACCGUAUACGCAAACAGUUGCACGGACGCAUGUGAUGCAACAUUUACUGGAUGCGUGCAAGGAUGUCGUGAUGCACAUGCACAUGGGCACCAUUUUGACGCAUGCGAGAGUGCUUGUCAACUUGCCAAAGACACUUGUCAUGCAACUUGUCAUGGGCAUGGAAAAUAAAUUUUAACCGAUAUGUAUUUGCAUAA
Long non-coding RNA from Magallana angulata, 391 nucleotides. RefSeq lists it as uncharacterized. The record is from RefSeq and is a predicted model, not a curated record. The transcript has 3 exons. NCBI's taxonomy places the organism in Eukaryota, Metazoa, Mollusca, Bivalvia, Ostreida, Ostreidae.